UUUAUUUAUUUAUGUAUUUAUGUAUGUAUGUAUUUAUUUAUUUAUUUAUUUAUUAUUAUUAUUAUUAACUUCAGCCUAUGCAAAGUACAAAGUUAUUGACUAACCUGGUACUUUCUCUCUUACAUGUAACCAAGUGCCAUUGAGAAGGGACUACUAAGAGGUUCCAUUGUGUUUUGAUAAACAUCUUGUCUCAAGAACCAGCAUAACUUGAAAUUCAUGGAUACUGGGGAGUCUUAGCUGGGACCACUGAGAUGCAGCCAGACUGCAGCACAUGAAGGAAGUAUCAUUAUUUGCAUUCAGUAAAUUAGGAGAAUAGAAGUAUUUCCCAGUGAUGGGGCUUCCUCAAAGCCUUCCUGCCUCUCUGUGGCAGAUCUGUGAAAAAUGAAGAUAAAAAUCCCAUGAAUCCCAAAAAAGGGCAGCACAGCAUCUCAGCUGAGAGUGCAGCUCCUCCUUGGACAUCUCUGCUCACCUCAUGUGUUCAUCCUUGUGCAGACAUGCAGCUGCCAGGUAUUGGAGGGCACAGCCCUGGAGCAG
This 534-nucleotide long non-coding RNA is filed under the name Cyanistes caeruleus (blue tit). Its description in RNAcentral is "lncRNA (ENSCCEG00000004946.1)". Lineage: Eukaryota; Metazoa; Chordata; Aves; Passeriformes; Paridae. The record is from RNAcentral.